Suricata suricatta (meerkat) is the source of this 3640-nucleotide RNA transcript. It is a transcript of the gene named G protein-coupled receptor 61, with no coding region annotated. The transcript has 3 exons. The record is from RefSeq and is a predicted model, not a curated record. Lineage: Eukaryota; Metazoa; Chordata; Mammalia; Carnivora; Herpestidae.
GGCUCCAGCAGCCUUGGAGAAGCAUCAGCUGAGAGGAGCUAUCACAUGGGAGCCGGAGCUGCUCAGCAAAGAUGUGUUUGUCAGGAAACGGAAGUUCACAAGAGUCCCAGAAUUAGUGAUUCCCAGACCUGGGACUGGAAACCAGAUCCUGUGUCCCUUCUACUCCCCAGCAGCUCCUGCCAUUUGGAGAGACAAGACAUCAGGAAAUUUACAUAAGCAACUUUAAAGCUGGGGCCUGACCCUGGAGCUCAGUGGGACCCUGGGAGAGGGAGACAGAGGAUUUAGACUCUCUGGAUGAUAGUGCCUGAGAGGGGAGAAGGGUAUGGAGAACAGAGGAAAGGAAAAGAAAAAAGGAGCCUGAGACCACUCAGAAGGUGGAGUGUUGAGUGAGUGAGGCUCUGGCAUCUCUCACGUCCCCUGCUUCUUCGAGUUCGCCAAGGUGGACCAGAGCCACCACCUGCCAGAAAGGAGAGACCCAGCUUCUGAGCCCUCAGUUCCCUAUGCACAGUCUGGCCUGGGAGGCUGGCGAUAAGAGCCUGCCCAGGAGGCCCCAGCAGGAGGUGCCCUCCCUCUCCAUCCCCACACACUAAAUUGGGAAGUCUGGGCCUGGGCUGGCCAUCCCAGGGUCACUGGACUAGGAUGGGGGAUGGGCCUGUGACAGGAGGUGCCCUGGGUGUCCUCUUCCGGCCCCAUGGAGUCCUCUCCCAUCCCCCAGUCAUCAGGGAACUCUUCCACUCUGGGGAGGGUCCCUCAAACGCCAGGUCCCUCUACUGCCAGUGGGGUCCCAGAGGUGGGGCUGCGGGACGUGGCCUCAGAAUCCGUGGCCCUGUUCUUCAUGCUCCUGCUGGACUUGAUCGCUGUGGCUGGCAACGCCGCCGUGAUGGCCGUCAUUGCCAAGACACCGGCCCUUCGCAAAUUCGUCUUCGUCUUCCACCUGUGCCUGGUGGACCUGUUGGCCGCCCUGACCCUCAUGCCCCUGGCCAUGCUCUCCAGCUCUGCCCUCUUUGACCAUGACCUCUUCGGGGAGGUCGCCUGCCGCCUCUACUUGUUCUUGAGUGUGUGCUUCGUUAGCCUGGCCAUCCUCUCGGUGUCGGCGAUCAACGUGGAGCGCUACUAUUACGUCGUCCACCCCAUGCGCUAUGAGGUGCGCAUGACGCUGGGGCUGGUGGCCUCUGUGCUGGUGGGGGUGUGGGUGAAAGCCUUGGCCAUGGCUUCUGUGCCAGUUUUGGGAAGGGUCUCCCGGGACGAGGGAGCUCCCAGCAUCCCCCCAGGCUGCUCACUCCAAUGGAGCCGCAGUGCCUACUGCCAGCUUUUCGUGGUAGUCUUUGCUGUCCUUUACUUCCUGCUGCCUCUGCUCCUCAUCCUUGUGGUUUACUGCAGCAUGUUCCGAGUAGCCCGAGUGGCUGCCAUGCAGCACGGACCGCUGCCCACGUGGAUGGAGACGCCCCGGCAACGCUCCGAGUCUCUCAGCAGCCGCUCCACUAUGGUCACCAGCUCAGGGGCCCCCCAGACCACCCCGCACCGGACGUUCGGGGGAGGGAAGGCUGCAGUGGUCCUCCUGGCUGUGGGGGGCCAGUUCCUGCUCUGUUGGUUGCCCUACUUUUCCUUCCACCUCUACGUGGCCCUGAGUGCUCAGCCCAUUUCGACUGGGCAGGUGGAGAAUGUGGUGACGUGGAUCGGCUACUUCUGCUUCACUUCCAACCCCUUCUUUUAUGGAUGUCUCAACCGGCAAAUCCGGGGGGAGCUCAGCAAGCAGUUUGUCUGCUUCUUCAAGUCGGCUCCGGAGGAGGAGCUGCGGCUACCCAGCCGCGAGGGCUCCAUUGAGGAAAACUUCCUGCAGUUCCUUCAGGGUACUGGCUGUCCCGCCGAGUCCUGGGUUUCCCGGCCCAUACCCAGCCCCAAGCAGGAGCGACCAGCUGUGGACUUUCGAAUUCCAGGCCAGAUAGCUGAGGAGACCUCGGAGUUCCUGGAGCAACAACUCACCAGCGACAUCAUCAUGUCGGACAGCUACCUCCAGCCGGCCCCCUCGCCUCGACUGGAAUCCUGACGGGCUCCUGGACAUUUGGAGGGAGACAGGGCUGGGGCUGCUGAUGACUGAAGGAAUGUCUUGUGGGAUCACCUUUUCCCGGCUAGCAGGGGCUGGGGCUUGGGUCUCUGCACACAGCUUUUGCUUAGUUUUUCUGGGUCAGGAACAAUGCCAACAGGAUGAACGUGUGGCAGAAGCCUUGGACAUGGCUAUGAUCCUUGACUCCUGGGGGAGGGAACCUGGUGAGAUGGUAAUGAGAAUAAACAGUCACAAAGGUGAGAUAAUGCCUUUCAACCAGUGAACUUAAGCACACCUCAGGAAGCAGGGAAACUCUCUAAGGGUAGGAGUUGGAGGAUAUAGAGCACCAGGCCAGGUUUGGAGUUAUCCUGGCGAUCCUUUAGGAUAUUUCACUUUCCAGGGUAAUUGUCCAGGGCAGUAACUGCACCCAGGCAAGGAUUGGCCUCCCUGAUCUCUCUCCUCAAGGCAGUGACCCACCUCCAGCCCCUUGGACAAUCGUACAAGAGACUAAGGUUGGGAAUGGGAAGGGUGGGGUUUCCACGGUCCAUUAAAUGCCUCCCUACUCCCAUUCAUCGCUCUCAAAAUUAGUUUCAGUAACAAAGACUCAAAUCUCUCUCCUACCUGCAGUCCUGGGUUGGAGAGAGGGCGUGAGAAUUGGGUUCAGCUGUUCACUGAUUGAGACCAUAGGAACUUGUAGGUUGGUAUUGGUGGUGGUAUUUUCAAAGGAGGGGGAGUAGUUACAAAUUGAACAGGACACCCAUCUGGGACUACCUGUCCAUCCACUUCCCUCUGUUGAAUCAAGUGACAUUAAAGGAUUGAGGCAGGACCAGAGGGUGGUUUGAUCUGUAUUUGAACAAAUUUCUGGCUCGUUGAACAUUAAAGGGUAAGAUGGGCUGGUGGGAGUGGAAUAGCCUCCCCCUUUGAACGGCCAAUAAAUAAUUUUUAAUAUAAAAAGUUAUACUGAUACAACAUUUCCUAUUUCAGUCCAAUUCAGUACAUAAUAGUUGAAUACCCAGUAUUCGCUGGGACCCACAGAGUCACUGCCUUUGAGGAGUUCAUAGUCUAAUUUGAUCAGGCACCUUGUAUUUUUACAGAGCAUUUAUAUCUGGUAAAGCACUAAAGAAUUUUGAGAAAUAUAUUAAAGAAUAUAUUGGAGUUCAGUCCAUCGCAGCAAAAUACUUACAUGGAAACUUCCUGUGGACUGUGGAAAGUGUGAGGGUUGUAAAUGAAACCCUAGUUGAGGGAAAUAAUUUAUUUACUGAAACUGAGUAAUCUCCCUUUAGAUCUAGGAAAAUUUACAAGUGUCUGUCUUCCUACUACCAGACUUAACUCUAGUCUAAGACCCAUUAUACUGAGGAAAUCCUUUAGGUAAUAUAUAUACCAAGGAGAAUCUUUUGUGAUUGAAAAACAAGUUCUCCUUGUUAUCCUUCCUUUUAAGAUAAACCCAUUAAGGGAGGAACCUCAUUUCUAGAUAACAGGAAAAAACCUCUUCUUCAAACAUCAUUGAUCAGCUAGUAGGCCCUAAGCAUUGCCAGCAGAUGGCACUGUGAGUCCAGUGGAAACAGGAAAGGUCCAUGUUGGGAGGGGGCGACUGUG